RNAcentral lists this ribosomal RNA (450 nucleotides) under uncultured bacterium. RNAcentral describes it as "partial 16S ribosomal RNA". It matches the Rfam family "Bacterial small subunit ribosomal RNA", at positions 354 to 796 of the family's 1533-position model. The record is from RNAcentral.
GUGGGGAAUCUUCCACAAUGGACGAAAGUCUGAUGGAGCAACGCCGCGUGAGUGAAGAAGGGUUUCGGCUCGUAAAGCUCUGUUGUCGGGGACGAAUGUGCAGUAUUUGAAUAAAGUACUGUAAUGACGGUACCUGACGAGGAAGCCACGGCUAACUACGUGCCAGCAGCCGCGGUAAUACGUAGGUGGCAAGCGUUGUCCGGAAUUAUUGGGCGUAAAGGGAGCGCAGGCGGGAAGGUAAGUCGGUCUUAAAAGUGCGGGGAUCAACCCCGUGGUGGGAUGGAAACUAUCGUUCUUGAGUGCAGGAGAGGAAAGUGGAAUUCCUAGUGUAGCGGUGAAAUGCGUAGAUAUUAGGAGGAACACCAGUGGCGAAGGCGACUUUCUGGACUGUAACUGACGCUGAGGCUCGAAAGUCAGGGGAGCGAACGGGAUUAGAUACCCCGGUAGUCC